Molecule: ribosomal RNA, 253 nt
Filed under: uncultured bacterium
Lineage: Bacteria
Description: partial 16S ribosomal RNA
Rfam family: Bacterial small subunit ribosomal RNA
Source: RNAcentral
UACGGGGGGGGCAAGCGUUGUUCGGAAUUACUGGGCGUAAAGGGCUCGUAGGCGGCCAACUCAGUCAGAUGUGAAAUCCCUCAGCUUAACUGGGGAACUGCGUCUGAUACUGGAUGGCUUGAGUUUGGGAGAGGGACGCGGAAUUCCAGGUGUAGCGGUGAAAUGCGUAGAUAUCUGGAGGAACACCGGUGGCGAAGGCGGCGUCCUGGACCAACACUGACACUGAUGAGCGAAAGCCAGGGGAGCAAACGGG